Molecule: long non-coding RNA, 972 nt
Organism: Triticum aestivum (bread wheat)
Lineage: Eukaryota; Viridiplantae; Streptophyta; Magnoliopsida; Poales; Poaceae
Exons: 3
Source: RefSeq, a predicted model, not a curated record
CAGUCUAGGAGAAGAAGAGUAGGGCAGAUUCAAAUCAGCAGCAUGAGGGAUAAGGCGGCCAUGACUAAGGUGACAUAUUGAGGAGCAGGACGCAGCGAUAGGGAGGCAGAGAUUGCUUCUUCGGCCUUCGUCCACUUCUUCGCCCUGCACAUGCAUACCCACCCACACCGUUUCCUCCAAGCUAGGAUGAAUGUAACCACGGUCCAGCGGCAACAACUUAGGUCUGAGAAACAUCCGCCCACAAGCCACCAUAGCUGACGACUAUGUGAUGCUCGAGCUCCGACUCUUCAUUCGAUCAUCAAUUCUCAGGAACUUCCAUAUUAUACUUACUCUGGUCCUUCCUUCCCUGUCGUCGGCAAGGCACCCGCUGAAGCGCUCGAGCAGUCUAGGAGAAGAAGAGUAGGGCAGAUUCAAAUCAGCAGCAUGAGGGAUAAGGCGGCCAUGACUAAGGUGACAUAUUGAGGAGCAGGACGCAGCGAUAGGGAGGCAGAGAUUGCUACUUCGGCCUUCGUCCGCUUCUUCGCCCUGCACAUGCAUAUCUUCCCGCACCAUUUCCUCCAAGCUAGGAUGAAUGUAACCACGGUCCAGCGGCAACAACUUAGGUCUGAGAAACAUCCGCCCACAAGCCACCAUAGCUGACGGCUAUGUGAUGCUCGAGCUCCGACUCUUCAUUCGAUCAUCAAUUCUCAGGAACUUCCAUAUUAUACUUACUCUGGUCCUUCCUUCCCUGUCGUCGGCAAGGCACCCGCUGAAGCGCUCGAGCAGUCUAGGAGAAGAAGAGUAGGGCAGAUUCAAAUCAGCAGCAUGAGGGAUAAGGCGGCCAUGACUAAGGUGACAUAUUGAGGAGCAGGACGCAGCGAUAGGGAGGCAGAGAUUGCUACUUCGGCCUUCGUCCACUUCUUCGCCCUGCACAUGCAUAUCUUCCCGCACCAUUUCCUCCAAGCUAGGAUGAAUGUAACCACGGUCCAGCGG